GGGCUUCUGAUGCUUAUUGCACCACAUGUGUUUUUUAUUGAACAAAUUUCUUUGGUGGCGGGAGCAAUCCUACCGCCAGAGGUUAUAACUAAACCAAACUUUUUAUUUACAGUCAAACUUGAUUUAUUAUUACAAUAGUCAAAACUUUCAACAACGGAUCUCUUGGUUCUCGCAUCGAUGAAGAACGCAGCGAAAUGCGAUACGUAAUAUGAAUUGCAGAUAUUCGUGAAUCAUCGAAUCUUUGAACGCACAUUGCGCCCUUUGGUAUUCCAAAGGGCAUGCCUGUUUGAGCGUCAUUUCUCCCUCAAACCCCCGGGUUUGGUGUUGAGCAAUACGCUAGGUUUGUUUGAAAGAAUUUAACGGGGAAACUUAUUUUAAGCGACUUAAGUUUAUCCAAAACGCUUAUUUUGCCAGGGGCCCCCCCAAUUUAUUUCAAAACUUUGACCCCAAAUCCGGGAGGAAUACCCCCUGAACU
Molecule: ribosomal RNA, 475 nt
Filed under: Candida tropicalis
Lineage: Eukaryota; Fungi; Ascomycota; Pichiomycetes; Serinales; Debaryomycetaceae
Description: eukaryotic LSU rRNA
Rfam family: 5.8S ribosomal RNA (bases 143-296)
Source: RNAcentral